RNAcentral lists this long non-coding RNA (720 nucleotides) under Ananas comosus (pineapple). RNAcentral's name for it is "long non-coding RNA (ACOM_LNC000730)". Lineage: Eukaryota; Viridiplantae; Streptophyta; Magnoliopsida; Poales; Bromeliaceae. The record is from RNAcentral.
CAAUUUCGCAGGAGCAAUGCACACUCUCGCUUCCCACAUCCCGAUCACUCUCAAACUUAUUCGUAAACAUCUUUAAACCCUCUAGAACAUGUAGGAAGGUUCUGAAUGUCAUUCCCCUUACUCGAACUUCGCAAUUUGCACAAGCUCAGUAUACUACACAAAAGCCUUCCGCGUAUUCCUCAGCGUAUUCCUCAACAGACGUAUAAUACAAUGCCGUACUGUCUGGCGCUCAUUAAAUGCACCGCGUCUGUAAUAUACCGAAAAUUCGGAAAGUAAAUAUCGAACUUUAGUCAAAUUGACCAAAGUGCGAGGAUGGUACACUUCGAAAAGUCCGAAGGUGUUAAAAUGAUCAAAAGUGUGUUGUGGAAGGUUUUCGAGAGCUAAAGAAUCAAAAUCUGCAUUCUGCAGGUUUUGUGCUCUCGGGGACCGGUCCCUGGUUGGAGAGACCGGUCCCCGAACGCGUGAGAAAUAAGACAGCCGAAAAAUCGGCUAAGUCCCAGAAAAGUAGCUCUCGGGAACCGGCCCCUGCGGGGAGAGACCGGUCCCCGAGAGACCGGUCCCCCAAGGAGAGACCGGAUGCAUCGCGCGUAGCCCUGGCUGCCCGCGGGGAGAGCUUUCUGGGACCGGUACCUGGUCGGGGAGACCGGUCCCCGCCUGCGCGAACAGCCCAGCCCAGGCAGUGUGAAAGAGCAAAAGUUGAGGGGUUUAUUUGCAUUUUUG